GAUGAACGCUGGCGGCGUGCUUAACACAUGCAAGUCGAACGGAAAGGCCCUGCUUUUGUGGGGUGCUCGUUUGGCGAACGGGUGAGUAACACGUGAGUAACCCGCCCCUGACUUUGGGAUAACUUCAGGAAACUGGGGCUAAUACCGGAUAGGAGCUCCUGCUGCACGGUGGGGGUUGGAAAGUUUCGGCGGUAGGGGCUGGACUCGCGGCUUAUCAGCCUGUUGGUGGGGUAGUGGCUUACCAAGGCUUUGACGGGUAGCCGGCCUGGGAGGGUGACCGGCCUCCUUGGUACUGAGGUACGGCCCAGACUCCUACGUGAGGCAGCGGUGGGGAGUAUUGCGCAAUGGGCGGAAGCCUGAUGCGGCAACGCCGCGUGCGUGAUGACGGCCUUCGGGUUGUAAACCGCUUUCGCCUGUGACGAAGCGUGAUUGACGGUAAUGGGUAAGGAAGCACCGGCUAACUACGUG
This 468-nucleotide ribosomal RNA is filed under the name uncultured bacterium. RNAcentral describes it as "partial 16S ribosomal RNA". It matches the Rfam family "Bacterial small subunit ribosomal RNA", at positions 28 to 507 of the family's 1533-position model. The record is from RNAcentral.